RNAcentral lists this ribosomal RNA (468 nucleotides) under uncultured bacterium. RNAcentral describes it as "partial 16S ribosomal RNA". It matches the Rfam family "Bacterial small subunit ribosomal RNA", at positions 28 to 507 of the family's 1533-position model. The record is from RNAcentral.
GACGAACGCUGGCGGCGUGCUUAACACAUGCAAGUCGAACGGAAAGGCCCUGCUUUUGUGGGGUGCUCGAGUGGCGAACGGGUGAGUAACACGUGAGUAACCUGCCCUUGACUUUGGGAUAACUUCAGGAAACUGGGGCUAAUACCGGAUAGGAGCUCCUGCUGCAUGGUGGGGGUUGGAAAGUUUCGGCGGUUGGGGAUGGACUCGCGGCUUAUCAGCUUGUUGGUGGGGUAGUGGCUUACCAAGGCUUUGACGAGUAGCCGGCCUGAGAGGGUGACCGGCCACAUUGGGACUGAGAUACGGCCCAGACUCCUACGGGAGGCGGCAGUGGGGAAUAUUGCACAAUGGGCGGAAGCCUGAUGCAGCAACGCCGCGUGCGGGAUGACGGCCUUCGGGUUGUAAACCGCUUUCGCCUGUGACGAAGCGUGAGUGACGGUAAUGGGUAAAGAAGCACCGGCUAACUACGUG